This 589-nucleotide long non-coding RNA is filed under the name Homo sapiens (human). Its description in RNAcentral is "non-protein coding lnc-FRMD5-1:1". Lineage: Eukaryota; Metazoa; Chordata; Mammalia; Primates; Hominidae. The record is from RNAcentral.
UCCUCGCAUCUCUUCCCGAGGCCCUCUCUGGCCUGCAGCCGGCUGCUGAGGCGGCCGUAGUCGGCCUCCUUCUGGUCGAUCUGUUUCUUGUGCGUGUCCACCAACAGCAAGAGGUCCGAAUUGCGCUUUUCCAGCCGCCCGCGGGCCACUUCGGUGCGCUGGACCUGGCCCUGCAGCUCGGCCACCUCCUCCUGAAGCAGGACGUGGCGGGAGGAGAUGCUCCAGUAGUUGAAGGCGAGGACGACGAUCACCACCAGCAGCACCACCAGCACGAGAGAGGGCAGGCGGCCAGCCCGCCGGUUGGCCCCGAAACCCACCAUGGGGCCAAAUCGGGCUGUACCCUAGGGGCCUCGCCGCAGACACCUGCAGGCAGAAGCCCAGGCCUCGGCUGGAGUUGCCCGGCGGACACGGCCCCAGGGCCGGCCGAGGGAGGAGGCGGGCUUACCGGUCGGCUGCGAGCCGGAGAAGGGGGCCAAAACGCGUUCCGGAGGCUUUGAACCCGACCCUGCACCUGCCCAAGGGAACCGGGAGAACCCAGCUGCCAGCGUCCCCCAAACCCAACACCUCACGGUUGGGAGGCGGGGAAAAA